GAAUUGCGCAAAUUCCAUAAGAAAGAUGGUGAACUAUGAUUGUGUAGUUUGAAGCCAGAUAAAACUCUGGUGGAGAACCGCAGCGAUUCUGACAAGCAAAUCGAUCGUCAAACGUGAGUAUAGGAGCGAAAAAAUAAUCAAACCAUCUAGUGGCUGGUUCCCGCCGAAGUGUCCUUCAAAAUAGCUGACACUCAUUCGCAUGAUCAGUUUAAUCCGGUAAAACGAAUGACUAGAGGUACUGGGUUCAAAACGAGCUCAACAUAUUCUCAAACUUUAAAUGGUUGAGAUGCCUGGCUCGCUUUAUAGGAGUCGGGUGCUGAAUGUGAAAGUGCCAAGUAGGCCACUUUUGGUAAGCAGAACUGGCACUGUGGGAUGAAUCAACCACUCUGACAACCGCAUGCUUCUUUCGAAUUGCUCUCAUAUUUGACUUAGUCGCACAACUAUGUAAAUGUAAAGGCCUGAGGAGAAUUAAUCGAAAGCAGAUGCAUGCUUGGCAAAUUGCCUUUUGAAUUAAAA
RNAcentral lists this non-coding RNA (516 nucleotides) under Schistocephalus solidus. RNAcentral describes it as "Eukaryotic large subunit ribosomal RNA". It matches the Rfam family "Eukaryotic large subunit ribosomal RNA", at positions 798 to 1352 of the family's 3401-position model. The record is from Rfam by way of RNAcentral. Lineage: Eukaryota; Metazoa; Platyhelminthes; Cestoda; Diphyllobothriidea; Diphyllobothriidae.